This 207-nucleotide ribosomal RNA is filed under the name uncultured bacterium. RNAcentral describes it as "partial 16S ribosomal RNA". It matches the Rfam family "Bacterial small subunit ribosomal RNA", at positions 568 to 774 of the family's 1533-position model. The record is from RNAcentral.
CGCGUAGGCGGGACGUCAAGUUAGGGGUGAAAGGCCUGGGCUCAACCUAGGAACUGCCUCUAAAACUGACGUUCUGGAGUCCGGGAGAGGAUGGCGGAAUUCCCAGUGUAGAGGUGAAAUUCGUAGAUAUUGGGAAGAACACCAGUGGCGAAGGCGGCCAUCUGGUCCGGCACUGACGCUGAGGCGCGAAAGCGUGGGGAGCAAACA